RNAcentral lists this ribosomal RNA (253 nucleotides) under uncultured bacterium. RNAcentral's name for it is "partial 16S ribosomal RNA". It matches the Rfam family "Bacterial small subunit ribosomal RNA", at positions 524 to 776 of the family's 1533-position model. The record is from RNAcentral.
UACGUAGGGUGCAAGCGUUAAUCGGAAUUACUGGGCGUAAAGCGUGCGCAGGCGGUUUUGUAAGUCUGUCGUGAAAUCCCCGGGCUCAACCUGGGAAUUGCGAUGGAGACUGCAAGGCUAGAAUCUGGCAGAGGGGGGUAGAAUUCCACGUGCAGCAGUGAAAUGCGUAGAGAUGUGGAGGAACACCGAUGGCGAAGGCAGCCCCCUGGGUCAAGAUUGACGCUCAUGCACGAAAGCGUGGGGAGCAAACAGG